Lolium perenne is the source of this 1014-nucleotide non-coding RNA. NCBI's taxonomy places the organism in Eukaryota, Viridiplantae, Streptophyta, Magnoliopsida, Poales, Poaceae. The record is from RefSeq and is a predicted model, not a curated record.
CCUUAUCGAUCGUACCAGCCUUAUCUCUUCCUCAUCUUCUCCUGUCCACCGUUCCUCUCUCCUCUCCGUCUCUCUCGGUCAAACUCCCACGGGAGAAAAUCCGCCGCCGCCUCCUCCCUCCCCGUCCAGGCCCAGAUCGUCCCGUCCCGCCCCGAACCCUCGAUCGCCGCGGCAGAACACCGGCGAGGGAGCGCGAGAGGCUUCUGCGCGAAGGAUUCAGCCAUGGCGAGCGCGGAUCUGCUGCGGAGGGAGGAGGAGUUCUACGAGUCCCUCUUCGAUUCCGCCAAAGGCGGUUCCGGCAAGGCGCAUGGGCAGAUGAUCGAGAAGAAGAUUGAAACCCUCGAGGACAUGGCCACCAGGGAUCUCAUACACAUCUGAGACAUAACUCGUGAGCGGCACCCUUGCAGCAAGGAGGAGGGGCGCGGCUCCACCAGGCCGUCGCCGUCAAGAGCGAGGAUAUGGCUCUUCCCUUGCGCCGGGCCGCGGAUGAGCGACGCAGAGACGCCUCCGCUAGCCAGCCGCUGGUGAGCCCGAGGAGGAGGCGCGAGGCACGGAGGGCUCCAGCAGGCCGCUGCGUCAAGCGCGAGGAAAGGGUUCCUCCCUUGCAUGUGGUCGCCACCGACGACGAGCGACGGCACCAACACGGCCGUACCGCCGAGCACGCAGCAGUUAAGACAAGAGAUGUAGAACUCAACUGGGUUGAACAAGCUUGAAGAUAAUUUUCUGAAUUUGAUAUCUUAUACUGAGAUAAUGUUGUUUGGCCGGAAUCGGAGACGAACAUGGUGGAGGCGAGCAGCAAGGAGAAGCAGCCCCCAGGUGCUCCUGGGCAGCGAGAAAGAGGAUCGAGCGGAGCGCAAUCUGGGGAUCAUUGAGUGAACCUAGAGGAAUAUUGUGUGCGGAGGAGCACGUCGGAGCAAAAUUGUAAUAUGAGCAAAAUUGUAAUUACUGUUCAGUUUAAAUACAAUUAUGUAGAGAAACUUUGGAUCGUAUAGAAUAAAGAGCGUACAGAAUAAA